UGAGUACGAGAUGCUACGGCAUCGAAGCAGUCUAUGUCAUACUUCCAAGAAAAGCUUGCACUGUCAUAAACAAAGAAUGCCUGUACCAUAACCGACACAGGUGGGUAGGUAGAGUAUACUAAGGGCGCGAGAUAACUCUCUCUAAGGAACUCGGCAAAAUGACUCCGUAACUUCGGGAGAAGGAGUGCCUUAUUUCUAAGGUUGCAAUAACAAGAUCCAAGCAACUGUUUACCAAAAACACAGGUCUCCGCUAAGUCGUAAGACGAUGUAUGGGGGCUGACGCCUGCCCAGUGCCAGAAGGUUAAAGAAGUUGGUUAGCAUUAGCGAAGCUGAUAACUGAAGCCCUGGUGAACGGCGGCCGUAACGAUAACGGUCCUAAGGUAGCGAAAUUCCUUGUCGGGUAAGUUCCGACCCGCAAAAGGCGUAAUGAUUUGGAUACUGUCUCGGAGAGGGGCUCGGUGAAAUAGACUUGUCUGUGAAGAUGCGGACUACCUGCACCUGGACAGAAAGACCCUAUGAAGCUUUACUGUAACUUGAGAUUGAAAUUGGACUUUAUUUGCGCAGUAUAGGUGGGAGGCGUUGAGAAUAAUCUUGCGGGAUUGUUGGAGCCAUCAGUGAGAUACCACUCUUGUAAUGUUAGAUUUCUAACUUUGUAUCAUUAUCUGGUCAAAGAACAGUUUCAGGCGGGCAGUUUGACUGGGGCGGUCGCCUCCCAAAGGGUAACGGAGGCGCACAAAGGUUUCCUCUGAACGGGUAGAAAUCGUAUCUAGAGUGUAAAGGCAUAAGGAAGCUUGACUGUGAGACCUACAAGUCGAGCAGGGACGAAAGUCGGUCUUAGUGAUCUGACGGUGCUGAGUGGAAAGGCCGUCACUCAACGGAUAAAAGUUACUCUAGGAUAACAGGCUGAUCUCCCCCAAGAGUUCACAUCGACGGGGAGGUUUGGCACCUCGAUGUCGGCUCAUCGCAUCCUGGGGCGGUAGUCCGUCCCAAGGGUUGGGCUGUUCGCCCAUGAAAGCGGUACGCGAGCUGGGUUCAGAACGUCGUGAGACAGUUCGGUCCAUAUCCGGUGUAGGCGUUAGAAUAUUGAGAGGAGCCUUCUCUAGUACGAGAGGACCGAGAAGGACAUACCUCUGGUGUACCAGUUAUCGUGCCAACGGUAAACGCUGGGUAGCUAUGUAUGGAGUGGAUAACCGCUGAAAGCAUCUAAGUGGGAAGCCCACCUCAAGAUAAGUAUUCUCAUC
RNAcentral lists this ribosomal RNA (1241 nucleotides) under metagenome. Its description in RNAcentral is "bacterial LSU rRNA". It matches the Rfam family "Bacterial large subunit ribosomal RNA", at positions 1564 to 2818 of the family's 2925-position model. The record is from RNAcentral.